AAAGAAACAUAACUCUCUCGAAUCUAAACCGGGGCCGCAAUCACCGUGUUCAUAAGUGACAUAUUUGAAUGGUUCACGGUCUCCCAACUUCAAUAUUUAUUUUGAUUUUGAUUUUUUUCAAAGAAAUUGAUAAGAGAAACAGCAACACAUUAUCACUACUCUGUUGUCAUUUCCUUCAAUACAACAGCAGCGAUUCUUGCAACUAAUUCUUCUGUUACCACCGAAAGGGUCCACAACGAGUCACACCUACAAGCUUUCCUUCUCCUAAGCUUUUUAACAACCUUCGGUGGCGUCACAGCAGCUUCCCGUGAAGGUAGUUUUUCUUCUUUCUCUGUUACUGUGAUUUCAUUCGUUUCAUUGGCUGGCAGAAUCUCCUUUGUUAUCUCUGUUCGUUCUACUCUCAGAGGUCCAUCGCCAUUUUCUGUAACAUUCUUAGUCUCCACAGAAGCCUCCUUAAUGGUUUCCUGUGAAGGUAGUUUUUCUUCUUUUUCUGUUACUACAACUUCAUUCGUUUUAUUGCCGGGCAGAAUCUCCUUUGUUAUCUCUGUUCGUUCUGUUAUCAGAGGUCCAUCGCCAUUUUCUGUAACAUUCUUAGUCUCCACAGAAGUCUCCUUAAUGGCUUCCUGUGAAGGAAGUUUUUCUUCUUUUUCUGUUACUUCAACUUCAUUCGUUUUAUUGCCGGGUAGAAUCUCCUUUGUUAUCUCUGUUCGUUCUGUUAUCAGAGGUCCAUCGCCAUUUUCUGUAACAUUCUUAGUCUCCACAGAAGUCUCCUUAAUGGCUUCCUGUGAAGGUAGUUUUUCUUCUUUUUCUGUUACUACAACUUCAUUCGUUUUAUUGCCGGGCAGAAUCUCCUUUGUUAUCUCUGUUCGUUCUGUUAUCAGAGGUCCAUCGACAUUUUCUGUAACAUUCUUAGUCUCGAGAGAAGUAUCCUUAAUGGUUUCCCGUGAAGGUAGUUUUUCUUCUUUUUCUGUUACUUCAACUUCAUUCGUUUUAUUGCCGGGCAGAAUCUCCUUUGUUAUCUCUGUUCGUUCUGUUAUCAGAGGUCCAUCGCCAUUUUCUGUAACAUUCUUAGUCUCGAGAGAAGAUUCCUUAAUGGUUUCCUGUGAAGGUAGUUUUUCUUCUUUCUCUGUUACUAAAGUUUCAUUCGUUUUAUUGCCGGGCAGAAUCUCCUUUGUUAUCUCUGUUCGUUCUGUUAUCAGAGGUCCAUCGCCAUUUUCUGUAACAUUCUUAGUUUCCACAGAGGUCUCCUUAAUGGUUUCCUGUGAAGGUAGUUUUUCUUCUUUUUCUGUUACUUCAACUUCAUUCGUUUUAUUGCCAGGCAGAAUCUCCUUUGUUAUCUCUGUUCGUUCUGUUAUCAGAGGUCCAUCGCCAUUUUCUGUAACAUUCUUAGUCUCCACAGAAGUCUCCUUAAUGGUUUCCUGUGAAGGUAGUUUUUCUUUUUCUGUUACUUCAACUUCAUUCGUUUUAUUGCCUGGCAGAAUCUCCUUUGUUAUCUCUGUUCGUUCUGUUAUCAGAGGUCCAUCGACAUUUUCUGUAACAUUCUUAGUCUCGAGAGAAGUCUCCUUAAUGGUUUCCUGUGAAGGUAGUUUUUCUUCUUUCUCUGUUACUAAAGUUUCAUUCGUUUUAUUGCCGGGCAGAAUCUCCUUUGUUAUCUCUGUUCGUUCUGUUAUCAGAGGUCCAUCGACAUUUUCUGUAACAUUCUUAGUCUCCACAGAAGUCUCCUUAAUGGUUUCCUGUGAAGGUAGUCUUUCUUCUUUCUCUGUUACUAAAGUUUCAUUCGUUUUAUUGCCGGGCAGAAUCUCCUUUGUUAUCUCUGUUCGUUCUACUUUAUGAGGUCCAUCGCUCUUUUCUGUUGCGUUCCUCCCCUCCACAAAUGUCAUAGUAAUGCUUUUCUGUGAAGGUAGUCUUUCUUCUUUCUCUGUUACUAAAGUUUCAUUCGUUUUAUUGCCUGGCAAGAA
RNA transcript from Eriocheir sinensis (Chinese mitten crab), 1958 nucleotides. RefSeq lists it as uncharacterized. The transcript has 5 exons. NCBI's taxonomy places the organism in Eukaryota, Metazoa, Arthropoda, Malacostraca, Decapoda, Varunidae. The record is from RefSeq and is a predicted model, not a curated record.